AAUUCAAUCAUGAGUUACUACAAUCAACAACAACCCCCUGUUGGUGUCCCUCCCCCGCAAGGUAAAAUUCUUAUUAUUAUUAUUAUUAUUAUUAUUAUUAUUAUUAUUAUUAUUAUUAUUUUGAUGAUUUUUUGGACAAGUUCAGUAUGAUAUUAGUUGGUUUUCUGAUUAGAUCUGAUGGAUUUUAGGGUUUGGUUUUUGAUUAUUGGAUGUGUAAAUAGGAUAUCCACCGGAAGGUUACCCUAAGGACGCAUACCCACCACCGGGGUACCCACAACAGGGUUACCCACCACAGGGGUACCCUCAACAAGGUUACCCUCCUCAAGGGUACCCUCCCCAGUAUGGUGCUCCACCCCCUCAACAACAACAGCAACAAUCUGGUAG
RNAcentral lists this long non-coding RNA (384 nucleotides) under Nicotiana tabacum (common tobacco). RNAcentral's name for it is "long non-coding RNA (NTAB_LNC007348)". Lineage: Eukaryota; Viridiplantae; Streptophyta; Magnoliopsida; Solanales; Solanaceae. The record is from RNAcentral.